This 1394-nucleotide ribosomal RNA is filed under the name uncultured bacterium. RNAcentral's name for it is "16S ribosomal RNA". It matches the Rfam family "Bacterial small subunit ribosomal RNA". The record is from RNAcentral.
UUAGAGUUUGAUCCUGGCUCAGGAUGAACGUUGGCGGCGUGCUUAACACAUGCAAGUCGAACGGAACUCUUACGAUAGAGACUUCGGUCAAUUGAAUUUGAGUUUAGUGGCGGACGGGUGAGUAACGCGUGAGGAACCUGCCUUGGAGUGGGGAAUAACACAGUGAAAAUUGUGCUAAUACCGCAUAAUGCAGUUGAGUCGCAUGGCUCUGACUGCCAAAGAUUUAUCGCUCUGAGAUGGCCUCGCGUCUGAUUAGCUAGAUGGCGGGGUAACGGCCCACCAUGGCGACGAUCAGUAGCCGGUCUGAGAGGAUGAACGGCCACAUUGGGACUGAGAUACGGCCCAGACUCCUACGGGAGGCAGCAGUGGGGAAUAUUGGGCAAUGGGGGAAACCCUGACCCAGCAACGCCGCGUGAAGGAAGAAGGCCCUCGGGUUGUAAACUUCUUUUACCAGGGACGAAGAACGUGACGGUACCUGGAGAAAAAGCAACGGCUAACUACGUGCCAGCAGCCGCGGUAAUACGUAGGUUGCAAGCGUUGUCCGGAUUUACUGGGUGUAAAGGGCGUGUAGGCGGAGAUGCAAGUUGGGAGUGAAAUCCCGGGGCUCAACCCCGGAACUGCUUUCAAAACUGCAUCCCUUGAGUAUCGGAGAGGCAAGCGGAAUUCCUAGUGUAGCGGUGAAAUGCGUAGAUAUUAGGAGGAACACCAGUGGCGAAGGCGGCUUGCUGGACGACAACUGACGCUGAGGCGCGAAAGCGUGGGGAGCAAACAGGAUUAGAUACCCUGGUAGUCCACGCUGUAAACGAUGAAUAAUAGGUGUGGGAGGACUGACCCCCUUCCGUGGCCCAAUUUAACACAAUAAGUAUUCCACCUGGGGAGUACGACCGCAAGGUUGAAACUCAAAGGAAUUGACGGGGGCCCGCACAAGCAGUGGAUUAUGUGGUUUAAUUCGACGCAACGCGAAGAACCUUACCAGGAUUUGACAUCCAACUAACGAAGUAGAGAUACAUUAGGUGCCCUUCGGGGAAAGUUGAGACAGGUGGUGCAUGGUUGUCGUCAGCUCGUGUCGUGAGAUGUUGGGUUAAGUCCCGCAACGAGCGCAACCCCUGCCGAUAGUUGCUACGCAAGAGCACUCUAUCGGGACCGCUACCGAUAAGGUGGAGGAAGGUGGGGACGACGUCAAAUCAUCAUGCCCCUUAUGACCUGGGCUACACACGUACUACAAUGGUCGUUAACAGAGGGAAGCAAAGCCGCGAGGCAGAGCAAAUCCCUAAAAACGGUCUCAGUUCAGAUUGUAGGCUGCAACUCGCCUAUAUGAAGUCGGAAUUGCUAGUAAUCGCGGAUCAGCAUGCCGCGGUGAAUACGUUCCCGGGCCUUGCACAAAGCGCCCGUCA